Molecule: ribosomal RNA, 497 nt
Filed under: uncultured bacterium
Lineage: Bacteria
Description: partial 16S ribosomal RNA
Rfam family: Bacterial small subunit ribosomal RNA
Source: RNAcentral
GAUGAACGCUGGCGGCGUGCCUAAUACAUGCAAGUCGAGCGAACAGACGAGGAGCUUGCUCCUCUGACGUUAGCGGCGGACGGGUGAGUAACACGUGGAUAACCUACCUAUAAGACUGGGAUAACUUCGGGAAACCGGAGCUAAUACCGGAUAAUAUAUUGAACCGCAUGGUUCAAUAGUGAAAGACGGUUUUGCUGGCACUUAUAGAUGGAUCCGCGCCGCAUUAGCUAGUUGGUAAGGUAACGGCUUACCAAGGCAACGAUGCGUAGCCGAACGGAGAGGGUGAUCGGCCACACUGGAACGGAGACACGGUCCAGACUCCUACGGGAGGCAGCAGUAGGGAAUCUUCCGCAAUGGGCGAAAGCUUGACGGAGCAACGCCGCGUGAGUGAUGAAGGUCUUCGGUUCGUAAAACUCUGUUAUUAGGGAAGAACAAAUGUGUAAGUAACUAUGCACGUCUUGACGGUACCUAAUCAGAAAGCCACGGCUAACUACGUG